Camellia sinensis is the source of this 845-nucleotide non-coding RNA. The record is from RefSeq and is a predicted model, not a curated record. NCBI's taxonomy places the organism in Eukaryota, Viridiplantae, Streptophyta, Magnoliopsida, Ericales, Theaceae.
AUAACACAGGAAAUUUGUUUACUUGGUUCUUGCCUUUAAAAGGUUGCUUUGAGCUAGAGCAUUUGAAAACCAAUUUUACAUUUGUGAAUCUUUCACUUAUUUGGUAAACUUGUUUCUCCUGAAAAUUUUCAUCUUGUGAUCUCAUGUAACUUAUCCUAUGAUCGUUAUUAUUGGAUACUUGUACUUUCACUUAAAUUUUGGGAUUAAACUAGUUUUGGUUUGUUUUGCUAGUUCUUCAAGCAAUAUUUGCCAGUGAAACAAUCCAAGAUAUUAUUCCUUUGGCUUCAAAUGCAAUUUUGAUUCUUGGGCAAGGAAGCUUAUUUGCAUAUACAAUUUCCUGAAGGUGCUUGGUGGUUGCCUCUCUAUUGCAUUUUACAAACUUAGCAGUUUAUUUUGAAGGGCAUAUCCAGGACAAUUUAGUUUGAUUUGUGCCAGUUGAGGGGAUUCGGGGAUCUGAAGUGUAUGUUACGGAAUUGGUUGCGUUUGAUUUUCUGAUUCCCAUGGUUCUGUUUGUCAUCAUUUCAUAUGCCAUGAGCUGAGGUUGCCUCCAAGGACACCGAGCUCUUGCAGGUAUGUGGGGGUCUUGCACUCAUAAUAUCUUUCUUCAGAGGUUAAAUAUUGACCCAUUGAAUAAAAUGAGUCUUCUUACUUUCUGAAUGAAUAGCAUAUAAAAUAGGCGCACACAAUGAGAUUUCCUCAUCAUGUUUGGAAAAGAAAAAGGGAAGGGAUUUGUACUAAUUCACAGAAAAAACCUGCAAGCGUUUUUAUAUUAAAAGAACUUAAAAUCCUCUAUGGUGGGAUGUAGUCCUUGGAGAUAAUUUCAUUCUUGUAUUCCAUAAGAAAUG